This 74-nucleotide transfer RNA is filed under the name Phycisphaerales bacterium. Its description in RNAcentral is "tRNA-Arg". It matches the Rfam family "tRNA". From Rfam's summary of the family: Transfer RNA (tRNA) molecules are approximately 80 nucleotides in length. Their secondary structure includes four short double-helical elements and three loops (D, anti-codon, and T loops). The record is from RNAcentral. Lineage: Bacteria; Pseudomonadati; Planctomycetota; Phycisphaerae; Phycisphaerales.
GCGCCGCUAGCUCAAUUGGAUAGAGCAUCGGUCUACGGAACCGAAGGUUUCAGGUUCGAAUCCUGAGCGGCGUA